UGCUCCUCCUUUUGAUGCCUUUUCAUGCUAAUCAGGCGGCAUCUCCGAAAAGGUCAAAGUAGCAACAUGCUCCUCGUGCCCAACAAAAACCCGCAGCUGCAGCUCCGCGAGAACACUGGAACCGUGUCGGCGUGCAGGAGGAGGGGAACGUGGACGGGAGCAUCCAUCAACGUGAGUACUCGCCGUGUUCAAGGCAAACUGCAUUCUGUGCAACACGCGCUCCGCGUGCUGCUGCUGCUCUGGCACACGCUUUGUUUUCCCUGAUUGCUGGGAAGGAAUUCAAAUGUCAUAAGGCGGACGGUGCAUGAGGCUGUUACGGGGAAGAGGCUCUGAUGACGACGUGACUGACAGUCUGAGGCGAAACCGAUUCUCC
Molecule: long non-coding RNA, 373 nt
Organism: Gasterosteus aculeatus aculeatus (three-spined stickleback)
Lineage: Eukaryota; Metazoa; Chordata; Actinopteri; Perciformes; Gasterosteidae
Source: Ensembl